UACGGAGGGUGCAAGCGUUAUCCGGAUUCACUGGGCUUAAAGGGUGCGUAGGCGGACUGGUAAGUCAGUGGUGAAAUCUCUGGGCUUAACUCAGAAACUGCCGUUGAUACUAUUUGUCUUGAAUGUCAUGGAGGUAAGCGGAAUAUGUCAUGUAGCGGUGAAAUGCUUAGAUAUGACAUAGAACACCGAUAGCGAAGGCAGCUUACUACAUGAAGAUUGACGCUGAGGCACGAAAGCGUGGGGAGCAAACAGG
RNAcentral lists this ribosomal RNA (253 nucleotides) under uncultured bacterium. Its description in RNAcentral is "partial 16S ribosomal RNA". It matches the Rfam family "Bacterial small subunit ribosomal RNA", at positions 524 to 776 of the family's 1533-position model. The record is from RNAcentral.